GUUUCAAUUCCUCAUAGGCAGGCUAUCGGCUUUACCCACUUCCAGAGGCAUUCCUCCAUAAGAUCUUG
Molecule: small RNA, 68 nt
Filed under: Acididesulfobacillus acetoxydans
Lineage: Bacteria; Bacillati; Bacillota; Clostridia; Eubacteriales; Peptococcaceae
Description: Peptococcaceae bacterium INE non-coding RNA
Source: RNAcentral